RNAcentral lists this ribosomal RNA (253 nucleotides) under uncultured bacterium. RNAcentral describes it as "partial 16S ribosomal RNA". It matches the Rfam family "Bacterial small subunit ribosomal RNA", at positions 524 to 776 of the family's 1533-position model. The record is from RNAcentral.
UACGUAGGGGCCAAGCGUUGUCCGGAUUAUUGGGCGUAAAGAGCUCGUAGGCGGUUCGGUAAGUCAGCUGUGAAAUCUCCACGCUCAACGUGGAGGGGUCAGCUGAUACUGCCGUGACUUGAGUCUGGUAGGGGAGUGCGGAAUUCCCGGUGUAGCGGUGAAAUGCGCAGAUAUCGGGAGGAACACCAGUGGCGAAGGCGGCACUCUGGGCCAGUACUGACGCUGAGGAGCGAAAGCUAGGGUAGCAAACGGG